This 2983-nucleotide unclassified non-coding RNA is filed under the name Hevea brasiliensis (rubber tree). Lineage: Eukaryota; Viridiplantae; Streptophyta; Magnoliopsida; Malpighiales; Euphorbiaceae. The record is from RNAcentral.
UGAAAACAUAAUGAAUUGAUAUUGUAAAAUUCCAAAAAAAAUUCUUCCACUUGUAAAUUUGAUUGUUACAUGACUACUAAAUCAUUGAUCAUAGCAGUCCUGCAAGAAGAGAGAAGAAUCAAAUGGGAGUUUCCAUGCUAAUUGUAACUAUCAAUAACUAACAGAAUAUAUAAACUGUUGUUAUUCAGAAAAAAGGGAAAGUAAAAUCUGGUAGUUUUAGACUAAAUCUUAUACAAAGGAAAGAAACCCCAUGACACAAAAUUCAUCUAACUGAUUCCCGGUGACUAUCAAAAUUCAUAAACUCAUCUCCAUCUGUUCUUGGUUUACUGCUCUAUCAACAUCCUCACAUGGUCUUAUUAAGUCCAAAUGUCUUUCCUUUUCCAGAAAUGCUUUUCAAAAGCUGUUUAGAAUACAUGCCCUGUGCCUGUGUUGCAUUCUUCACUCGGUUGGCUCUUACCCAAGCAGGUUCCUCAGGAAGAAAGCGAGAUAACCCAAAUUUAAUCAGCAAGAGGAUGUGCUCCAAUAUGAGAAUUGCAGCCAGCCCAGGCUCUAUUUUCCAUUUUCCCUCCUUGUCAUAUAAGCAUACUAGUAGUGCAGAGUUGGUGCAGAUUGACAUCACGAUUAGAAACUGAAAUAUGUUUAACCAAGCUCCAAUGGUGGCAGCUGCACGAGGAACCGGCCUUUUCAACAUGGUGAGUAACUUCAAUGCAUCUGUUCUAAGUUCUGUGAAGCACAGCAGCAAAGGCAAAUGCGAGGGGGAAAGCACAAGCGAACAUCAUGAUCAUUCCAAACUGCAAUGUUAACUGCAGAAAGUCUGCACACAGUUUUUUCUCCAUCAAAAAGACCAUCUUCUAGUUCUUCACCAAUACUUGCAGAAUAUGAAGGUUUUAGGUACUCUUUCUCCACCUUGGAAUUGAACUGGAUCUUCACAUUUGAUGGUUGAUUCUCCUGUUUUUUUCUUAUUUCUAACGGCCCUAUCUUUUUUAUAGCUGUACUUGAGAUAGGAUAAUGAAUUCUCCAAGACCUGAUACACUAUCAACGCUGAAUUAAAACCUGAUGAAGAGUCAAGAAGUUGCGACGUAGAAAGGUGUGAUAGAAAACUCCUAUAUAUGACUGCAUAAAAUAAAGGCCAAAUACUUUGCAAACCAAGCUGUCGACCUGAUAUUCUGUGUUUUCAUUGUUUUCGUAUUGUAUGAGCUUCAUUGAUAUCUUGCCCCCAAUCUUCAUAAAAUACUGAAUGAGAACAAGAUAAGCAUAACCUGAAGAGCAGAAACACAGGAGCAUCACUGGUAUCAAGCAGUUUCAUGCCAUAAAUCCAAGCUCAGGAGACAUUGAAGUGUUCAUUGUAGUUGAAUGAAACACUAGUCAAAUUUCAUUGAAUUAUUCAUGGACAGUAUUAUAAGCUUUCUGCUGUCUGUCUUCUACAGUACCUUGAAUUAAAUAUAUACAUGAGUUUCUAGAACGCUCGUAAGGCAAGAAAUGAAGUUCAAAUUCAAGUGGAAGGCACAAUCUGAUGAAUUUUCAUCCCUAGCUUAUUAAACUAUCUACAUCAUCCACUUCCAGUUUCAAGAUUAAAAAUAAAAAGGAUGGGUAGUUCCUUUUUUUUAACCUAUCAAGAAACAAAAAGAAAUGAAUUUUUAAGAGCAAAAUCAGAGGAAAGAAAAAGAGAAGACACAUUUUGUUGCAUACAGCAUUAGCACUCAAGAAGUGGCAAAUUCAGACCCUGAUCUCAAUAAUCAGCUUUCAAAAAGCAAAAAUGUGAAUUGAAACAUAUAGAAUUUUCAAUAUGAACGUCAUGAGCUGUCCUGUAAUAAACCUGUUGCUGCAUUGAGAGAAAUAAGGGCAUUUACACUAGCAAUGGUUGCAGGAUGUUGAUGGAGUAAGAGUAACUAAAGAUAUGAAAAGGAAGUUACAGCAUUUGUUGUGUAACAAUACUCUCUUCUACAAGAGUUAAAGUCAAAGCCCAACUCUUCAACUUUAUAUGACAUUAUUCGACAGCUACAAAGGAAAGACGAAGUAAACUAGAUAAAUAUCCUAUAAACUACAUUAUGCAAUGCAUUCAUCCAGGAAAGAAAUGCAAGACUUGGAGGUUUUUGUCACAAAUUUCAGAGAAGGCAGAAUCACUCUGUGUUGGGAUAUAUGUUGCAAGGUAAAGGUUGCAGCAGUCAAAUGAUUCUUUCUCUCUUCUCCUUUCAAAGCUUUGUUUUAAUUUUGAUUGUUCUUUUAUACCUUAUUGAGACUAAAUCUCAGAGGAAGAAAAUAGAUUUAUUGAUGGAAUUAAAUAUGCAGUAACUAUAAACAAAAAUAUCUGUAUAUCAAAGAAAAGAUCAACAUAUUUUUAACUCCAAAUCAGGACUAAUCUUCUUUAUUUUUUUUGUCUUUUCUGUUUCUCUUUUUGGAUGGGUUACUUUGACAGUCAGAACAAAAUUUUAACUGGAAUUCGUCAAAACUAAAAAUCUAGGAACAAUUAUCUCCCAACAAAGGCUCAAAUGAAAGAUGUGAAUCAAGAGGUUGCAUAACAAAAUUAACUAUAGAACUAACAUCAACAUUGGUAAGAGAAUCAUAUACUACAGCAAAAUCAUUAAAGGGAUUGACAAGAUCAAGAUAUUGGGACAGCUAAGGAAGAGGAUAACAAACUUCCAAACAUACAAAUAUACAAUAAAAGCAUUUCAACCAUGAAGUAAUAGCACUGACAUAAUUAAGGAAUAAUCAACUUCCAGAAGACGGAAGCUACCAGCUGCAAAUCAUAAACAUGAUAUAAAUUUCAGAAAUAAUCAAAUAACACAUAUACAGAAUCUUACUUCAUCGUAUCCAAAUCCAUAACCUCAUAAGAUGAGCAUAGGCCAACUCAAAUGGCAACUGAAGGCAGAUGAUACUCAAAAUAAUGAUGGCAUUAUUUCUAAACCGCAUGAGAUACCCAAACCAUUCAUGUCUUUGAUACGCUUCUUUCUCUUUUACUUUAUCAAUCCCCAAAUUUUUUACA